CCUACGGGAGGCAGCAGUGGGGGAUAUUGCACAAUGGGGGAAACCCUGAUGCAGCGACGCCGCGUGUAGGAAGACGGUCCUCUGGAUUGUAAACUACUGUCCCCAGGGACGAAGAUGACGGUACCUGGGGAGGAAGCUCCGGCUAACUACGUGCCAGCAGCUGCGGUAAUACGUAGGGAGCGAGCGUUAUACGGACUUACUGGGUGUAAAGGGCGCGUAGACGGGGAGGUAAGACUGAAGUGGAAGGCCGGGGCCCAACCGCGGAACUGCUUUGGGGACUGGUUUGAUAGAGUAUGGGAGGGGUAAGCGGAAUGCCUGGUGUAGCGGUGAAAUGCGUAGAUAUCGGGAGGAACACCGGUGGCGAAGGCGGAUUACUGGACCAUAACUGACGUUGAGGCUCGAAAGCGUGGGGAGCGAACAGGAUUAGAUACCCGAGUAGUC
Molecule: ribosomal RNA, 441 nt
Filed under: uncultured bacterium
Lineage: Bacteria
Description: partial 16S ribosomal RNA
Rfam family: Bacterial small subunit ribosomal RNA
Source: RNAcentral